CAGCAGCCGCGGUAAUACAGAGGUCCCAAGCGUUGUUCGGAUUCAUUGGGCGUAAAGGGUGCGUAGGUGGCGCCGUAAGUCGGGUGUGAAAUUUCGGAGCUUAACUCCGAAACUGCAUUCGAUACUGCGGUGCUUGAGGACUGGAGAGGAGACUGGAAUUCAUGGUGUAGCAGUGAAAUGCGUAGAGAUCAUGAGGAAGACCAGUGGCGAAGGCGGGUCUCUGGACAGUUCCUGACACUGAGGCACGAAGGCCAGGGUAGCAAACGGGAUUAGAUACCCCGGUAGUCCUGGCAGUAAACGGUGCACGUUUGGUGUGGGGGGAUUCGACCCCUUCCGCGCCGGAGCUAACGCGUUAAACGUGCCGCCUGGGGAGUACGGUCGCAAGAUUAAAACUCAAAGAAAUUGACGG
This 409-nucleotide ribosomal RNA is filed under the name uncultured bacterium. Its description in RNAcentral is "bacterial SSU rRNA". It matches the Rfam family "Bacterial small subunit ribosomal RNA", at positions 509 to 916 of the family's 1533-position model. The record is from RNAcentral.